Molecule: ribosomal RNA, 1363 nt
Filed under: Pseudomonas haemolytica
Lineage: Bacteria; Pseudomonadati; Pseudomonadota; Gammaproteobacteria; Pseudomonadales; Pseudomonadaceae
Also listed under: 1 other name
Description: partial 23S ribosomal RNA
Rfam family: Bacterial large subunit ribosomal RNA
Source: RNAcentral
UAACGAAGUGGUUGAUGCCAUGCUUCCAAGAAAAGCUUCUAAGCUUCAGGUAACCAGGAACCGUACCCCAAACCGACACAGGUGGUUGGGUAGAGAAUACCAAGGCGCUUGAGAGAACUCGGGUGAAGGAACUAGGCAAAAUGGCACCGUAACUUCGGGAGAAGGUGCGCCGGUGAGGGUGAAGGACUUGCUCCGUAAGCUCAUGCCGGUCGAAGAUACCAGGCCGCUGCGACUGUUUAUUAAAAACACAGCACUCUGCAAACACGAAAGUGGACGUAUAGGGUGUGACGCCUGCCCGGUGCCGGAAGGUUAAUUGAUGGGGUUAGCUAACGCGAAGCUCUUGAUCGAAGCCCCGGUAAACGGCGGCCGUAACUAUAACGGUCCUAAGGUAGCGAAAUUCCUUGUCGGGUAAGUUCCGACCUGCACGAAUGGCGUAACGAUGGCGGCGCUGUCUCCACCCGAGACUCAGUGAAAUUGAAAUCGCUGUGAAGAUGCAGUGUAUCCGCGGCUAGACGGAAAGACCCCGUGAACCUUUACUAUAGCUUUGCACUGGACUUUGAAUUUGCUUGUGUAGGAUAGGUGGGAGGCUUUGAAGCGUGGACGCCAGUCUGCGUGGAGCCAACCUUGAAAUACCACCCUGGCAACUUUGAGGUUCUAACUCAGGUCCGUUAUCCGGAUCGAGGACAGUGUAUGGUGGGUAGUUUGACUGGGGCGGUCUCCUCCUAAAGAGUAACGGAGGAGUACGAAGGUGCGCUCAGACCGGUCGGAAAUCGGUCGUAGAGUAUAAAGGCAAAAGCGCGCUUGACUGCGAGACAGACACGUCGAGCAGGUACGAAAGUAGGUCUUAGUGAUCCGGUGGUUCUGUAUGGAAGGGCCAUCGCUCAACGGAUAAAAGGUACUCCGGGGAUAACAGGCUGAUACCGCCCAAGAGUUCAUAUCGACGGCGGUGUUUGGCACCUCGAUGUCGGCUCAUCACAUCCUGGGGCUGAAGCCGGUCCCAAGGGUAUGGCUGUUCGCCAUUUAAAGUGGUACGCGAGCUGGGUUUAGAACGUCGUGAGACAGUUCGGUCCCUAUCUGCCGUGGACGUUUGAGAUUUGAGAGGGGCUGCUCCUAGUACGAGAGGACCGGAGUGGACGAACCUCUGGUGUUCCGGUUGUCACGCCAGUGGCAUUGCCGGGUAGCUAUGUUCGGAAUAGAUAACCGCUGAAAGCAUCUAAGCGGGAAACUAGCCUCAAGAUGAGAUCUCACUGGGACCUUGAGUCCCCUGAAGGGCCGUCGAAGACUACGACGUUGAUAGGUUGGGUGUGUAAGCGCUGUGAGGCGUUGAGCUAACCAAUACUAAUUGCCCGUGAGGCUUGACCAU